RNAcentral lists this ribosomal RNA (252 nucleotides) under uncultured bacterium. RNAcentral's name for it is "partial 16S ribosomal RNA". It matches the Rfam family "Bacterial small subunit ribosomal RNA", at positions 524 to 776 of the family's 1533-position model. The record is from RNAcentral.
UACGUAGGGGGCAAGCGUUGUCCGGAUUUAUUGGGCGUAAAGAGCGUGUAGGCGGCUGGGUAGGUCCGUUGUGAAAACUCGAGGCUCAACCUCGAGACGCCGAUGGAAACCCUCAGCUAGAGUCCGGAAGAGGAGAGUGGAAUUCCUGGUGUAGCGGUGAAAUGCGCAGAUAUCAGGAGGAACACCAAUUGCGAAGGCAGCUCGCUGGGACGUUACUGACGCUGAGACGCGAAAGCGUGGGGAGCAAACAGG